This 83-nucleotide transfer RNA is filed under the name Volvox carteri f. nagariensis. It matches the Rfam family "tRNA". Rfam says of the family: Transfer RNA (tRNA) molecules are approximately 80 nucleotides in length. Their secondary structure includes four short double-helical elements and three loops (D, anti-codon, and T loops). The record is from Rfam by way of RNAcentral. Lineage: Eukaryota; Viridiplantae; Chlorophyta; Chlorophyceae; Chlamydomonadales; Volvocaceae.
GUCCCGUUGGCGUAGUGGAUAACGCACUGGACUUCUAUUACUAAGACAUCCAGGGAUCAUGGGUUCGAAUCCCAUACGGGACG